Long non-coding RNA from Acanthaster planci (crown-of-thorns starfish), 4060 nucleotides. RefSeq lists it as uncharacterized. The record is from RefSeq and is a predicted model, not a curated record. NCBI's taxonomy places the organism in Eukaryota, Metazoa, Echinodermata, Asteroidea, Valvatida, Acanthasteridae.
CGUGCAGCAUGGCGUCAGGCAGUGGUGGCGGGAAAUGUAUCUGAAGUUUGGACGGAAAUGUUCGUGGCAUUGAACAAGCGUUGAAUGUCUGGGUAUACAAGACUGGAUCCACCAAGCAAGUAAUGGAGAGACGAGAAACACUCCUGUGAGACCGUUUUCUGGAUUGUUGCACAUCCGAGAUAUAUUCUGACACUUUAUUGUACUCAGCAGCUAGAGCACAAGCCGCUGAUGAAUCGUUACAGGAUGACCAGCUUCUUGGCCAAUGGCCAUCUUGAUGAUGACCAAUGUUGUAGAGGUGAUUGUACUGUGAUCUCUUGCUGUAGCCUUCUAGGUAAAAAACUGUGAUCUCCUGUAUUGGCCUUUAGUUGGACCGAGAGAGAACACUAUUUUCUUGGCAUCAGAUGCUCCUUUGGUACUAACUGUGCAUCAUUGGUUCAUGAACGACUAGGACAUGCAAGAGGUGCAGCCCCAUCGCUACCAACAAAAUGAAUACUCCCAACCAACAUGGCACUUUUCAACCAAUUAAGUUGUACUUCUACUCAUGGCAAUAUGAAGAGAUUGUUUGGCUGAAAAAUUAGGUGGGAUUGUUUAAAUAUAGCCCCAGAUCAACACUUUUUGUUUUGCGGUCUUGCAUCUGUAGAUGGUUGAAAACAGAUCUUAAGAACUGGAACAAGUAGGGAGAUGUAAUUUGUGAAAUCACUGCUGGCAAGCUUGAGGAAAAGGACUUUUUGGGAAGUGUAUUUAAGGUGUUUUGAAGAAUAAUAUGUACUUACACUGUCGCUAAUCAAGUAGCAAUUAAAAAGAAAUGGAAAAAUAACAACUUAGAAGAUGAGAUUUUUUAAAAAGAAACUCCAGUGAUGUGGGCUCGUAUAUUAUUUGGCCCUGAUCUUUGUCGAUUUCACGCUUCUUUCAAUGAUGUUUCAAAUGAUUGUAAAGUGCAAUCGACAUUUUGAAAUGGUGGCCUCCAUAAGUGUGUAGUAAUGCAGACUGGAAUUCAAACAUGGUUUGUUUAGUUUCCCUAGUUUCAGUAGUUUGACGGAGAGAUGAGCAAGCUAGUCCAUGGAGGCUGUUCUCUGGAGUGUAACAAAUCAGAGAUAUCUUAUCACUGGUGACACUACUCAACAGCCAGAGCACAAGCCGCUGAGUGAGGCGCUGUUCAUGGUACAUCCAACUUCUUGAUGAUGGGGUUCCUGUGCUCGUUGUUGAGGUGAUCGGACUUUGAUCUCUUGCUGCUGCCUGCUGGGUAAAAGCUGUAGCAUUGAUGAAGAGACAAGACCAGGCCCCUUGGAGACAGUUUUCUGGAUUUUGACACAUCACUAGCAACUGGCAUUACUGACAACACAACUCACUCGGUAAGCACUUUAGAUGAUGUUCUGAUUUGAGUCUAAUGAAAGGCAUGUUCCAGAUUUUGAAACAAUAUCUGUACAUAUCUUUGUAUACAUGUACAAUGUUUCUGUAAAAUCUGGAGCAUGGCUUAUCAGGCUCCACUCUUGAGGACGACGAGAGCAUGCUGGAUGAAACGUCGAGUACACACUCUACAGUUCUUAUCAGAACCAUACCUCUUCCAAGGGAGAUCUAUCCACAUGAUGUAACCACAAGCCCUGUUUUUAGUCUCUACCAUGUAAAGCGUCAAGUCUGAUCAUGAAGUUAUGCUCUAUAUAAGGACAAAUCCUAAUUAAGCAUUUGUCUGUGACUGUAGAGUUGGUGAAAAUCAACUGAUCUUGUUGUCAUUUUGUUGUACAUAUCCACUGAAGAACGUUUCAUUCUGACAUUCCCAAACGUAAGAGAACUAGACCCAAAUGAAAGUGAAAGCUUGGGUCAGCCAUUGUGUUUGCCAGUAAUCUUCUCCCUCUUGUACUUGUUAGUCAAUCUAUUUCAGUAGUACGUUUGGUCUUUUUAUACGAGGAUAGUCUUCAAAUAGUCGAAAUUUGCUGACCUUGUUUAUUGGCAUGGGUAUCAUCUCUUCAGUCAUCGGAGAAUGCUUCAUUUCCAUAUUUCCAAAUGUGAGAAAAUUAUCCGCAAAAUGAAGGCCAUGCUUUAAAAUGAAUUUUUCUUACUGGUUCUUUUGAAUCAUGUAAAUUUACUCACUUGAAAAAGUGUCCAGUUUUAAUUAAGUCCACUGUGCCCUCCUUUUGAAGAGAUCUUAUUGGCUUGGUAAUUUAUUAUUAUCCGUGUGAUGCCUUUAAUCAUGUCAUCCCAAUUAAACAUUUGUCUGUUAUUUUUUACGCCUGUACUACCACAAUUACGGCCAAGAUUUAGACUCUAGCAUUGUACCUAUCUGUUCUACUCGUUAGUUUUCUGCUGACAGUAGAACAGUGAUGUGCUCCAUGCUGUGAUAUGCUCAACCUCUCUCAUCGUUUUCUUUAUCAUAGUCUGUCCUGGCAUAGCACGAGCGAAUUCCGGGUGUAAUUUCUGUUGUAUAAGUGCAUUGAGCCUUUUUAAGGGCAAUAAAAGUAACACCAGCACUUUCAAAUUGUUGUCUUGAAUUGCCUUCAGCCCAGUGAAGAAAAAACAAAACGAUUUUGAUUUCCUCAACAUAACAUAACUGGUAAUUUGUAAAUGUUGCAGUGACCGUUUGACUUGUGGUGGCAGCAAAAGGUUUUGUUGAAGGGUUCUUACUUUGCAUGAUUUUCUGUACCAUACGGUGUACCUGAAGGAAAUGUCUCUAGCCCAAUCCAUUUCAAUUUAUGUACAACGACCUUCACCAUCAGGUCGUGUCACCUAGCUUUUUCUCUAGUAACAAUGCUCUUGUGUAUUGGCCAAUAUAAUGUCAGUCUGAUGACCUUCUUCGACAAGAUAUUUCGUGGCUUCCAUAGAUGUUGUCAUGUUAAUAAAAAUACAUCUCAAUACAUUACUAAGGAAACCAAAGUUUUGCAUAUAGGAUGGUUAGAGAAAAUAGUGGAUCUUAAUUAUACCUUAGUUAACAUGCAGUUUUACAGCUGAUAAUGAGUACAAAUAUCUUCUUGUAAUAAUUUCAACGACAAGAUUUCUUGGGUAAAUCAUGUUAAGCCACUACCAAAUCAGACAUACUCAGUAUGUCUUGCUCUCAUCUUACAGGUUUGUAGUGUUGACUAUUCUGGAAUACAAGCAGCCUAUCUGGUAUCCUCACAACAGAAACCUUAUAUUGACAAAUUAGAACAGAAUUGAACGUUGAGCAAUUGGGAAGAUUCUCUAGCAAAGAAAAUUUAAAACGCAUUUCACUGAUUAGUUGCAUAUGUACGUUGAAUUUGUCUUUACGUGAAUCUAAAAUCAUCCAUCUUUUUCUUACCUUUGUUGUUAGAGAUCUUUCUGGAGCUUUUGACAGUGGAACUGUCUCCGUUAAUAGGAGACAGACCUCAGGGCUCCAAUGCAAAAACAUUUUGCCAAUUGCAUGCUCUUGGGAUGAAAUGCACGUACCUGAACGUUUGAGAACUGAAGUGGGCGAAAUGAACCUUCAACACCGGACCAACUGAUUAAGUACCCACUUGAAUCUGAAGUAUAAAACUUUACAGAGCACUGAUUGACUUGGCAGUUGAGUACCUUUGUAAUAAGGUUGAGACUGGCGAAUUGUGGGAGGGGCACUGUGUUGCUUGUAAGGAAGCACAAAAUGCAGGGAUUUCAAGACCUAGGAUUUGCCAUGUGGGCCAGAUCUGUCGAUGGUUUUCCAUUUGUCGGUCUUCAACCAUAUUUUGUUAUUCCAUGGUGUCUUUCUUGUUUUCGGUUUUGUACAAUAAAUUUCUUUCAUUGUUUUCGGGGUACUUGUCAUAAAUUGAUUUGUUUUUGUAAUUAAUUUCAUUUUCUUUAUUGUAAUGUAUUUGUAUGUCAGAUUUAUGUUAUUUUCGCCUACUGAAUGAACUUUUUCUGUUUGAUUUAUUUACCAUUUCUUGAAUCAUAUUUUCCUUGUGCAUUUACUUUAUUGUGUAUGUGUGUGCACGUUUAUGUAGAGCCUGGAGCUUCAGAAAUGAAGGCUUAGGGAUGACAGUUACUGGAUUAACUGUUUCCUCUCCGGGCAUUUGUAAUGUUUGUGUUUUGAUUUCAGUGUAUAUGUGUUUUGUUUAAUUUUCUGUUCUUUAUCCUGGAA